This 169-nucleotide unclassified non-coding RNA is filed under the name uncultured Coniochaeta. RNAcentral's name for it is "sequence contains ITS1". The record is from RNAcentral. Lineage: Eukaryota; Fungi; Ascomycota; Sordariomycetes; Coniochaetales.
AAGAGAUCAUGCCCUCACGGGUAGACCUCCCACCCUUUGUUUACAAUACCUUUGUUGCUUUGGCGGGCCCGUUUGGCCCCGCGCUGAACAACCGGCCCCGGCUGGUCAGUGCCCGCCAGAGAACCGAAAACUCUGAAUUAAAUGUCGUCUGAGUACUAUGUAAUAGUUA